UCGAUUCCCUUAGUAGCGGCGAGCGAAACGGGAAGAGCCCAAACCAACAAGCUUGCUUGUUGGGGUUGUAGGACACUCUAUACGGAGUUACAAAGGACGACAUUAGACGAAUCAUCUGGAAAGAUGAAUCAAAGAAGGUAAUAAUCCUGUAGUCGAAAAUGUUGUCUCUCUUGAGUGGAUCCUGAGUACGACGGAGCACGUGAAAUUCCGUCGGAAUCUGGGAGGACCAUCUCCUAAGGCUAAAUACUCUCUAGUGACCGAUAGUGAACCAGUACCGUGAGGGAAAGGUGAAAAGCACCCCGGAAGGGGAGUGAAAUAGAACCUGAAACCGUGUGCUUACAAGUAGUCAGAGCCCGUUAAUGGGUGAUGGCGUGCCUUUUGUAGAAUGAACCGGCGAGUUACGAUUUGAUGCAAGGUUAAGCAGUAAAUGUGGAGCCGUAGCGAAAGCGAGUCUGAAUAGGGCGUUUAGUAUUUGGUCGUAGACCCGAAACCAGGUGAUCUACCCUUGGUCAGGUUGAAGUUCAGGUAACACUGAAUGGAGGACCGAACCGACUUACGUUGAAAAGUGAGCGGAUGAACUGAGGGUAGCGGAGAAAUUCCAAUCGAACCUGGAGAUAGCUGGUUCUCUCCGAAAUAGCUUUAGGGCUAGCCUCAAGUGAUGAUUAUUGGAGGUAGAGCACUGUUUGGACGAGGGGCCCCUCUCGGGUUACCGAAUUCAGACAAACUCCGAAUGCCAAUUAAUUUAACUUGGGAGUCAGAACAUGGGUGAUAAGGUCCGUGUUCGAAAGGGAAACAGCCCAGACCACCAGCUAAGGUCCCAAAAUAUAUGUUAAGUGGAAAAGGAUGUGGCGUUGCCCAGACAACUAGGAUGUUGGCUUAGAAGCAGCCAUCAUUUAAAGAGUGCGUAAUAGCUCACUAGUCGAGUGACACUGCGCCGAAAAUGUACCGGGGCUAAACAUAUUACCGAAGCUGUGGAUUGUCCUUUGGACAAUGGUAGGAGAGCGUUCUAAGGGCGUUGAAGCAUGAUCGUAAGGACAUGUGGAGCGCUUAGAAGUGAGAAUGCCGGUGUGAGUAGCGAAAGACGGGUGAGAAUCCCGUCCACCGAUUGACUAAGGUUUCCAGAGGAAGGCUCGUCCGCUCUGGGUUAGUCGGGUCCUAAGCUGAGGCCGACAGGCGUAGGCGAUGGAUAACAGGUUGAUAUUCCUGUACCACCUAUAAUCGUUUUAAUCGAUGGGGGGACGCAGUAGGAUAGGCGAAGCGUGCGAUUGGAUUGCACGUCUAAGCAGUAAGGCUGAGUAUUAGGCAAAUCCGGUACUCGUUAAGGCUGAGCUGUGAUGGGGAGAAGACAUUGUGUCUUCGAGUCGUUGAUUUCACACUGCCGAGAAAAGCCUCUAGAUAGAAAAUAGGUGCCCGUACCGCAAACCGACACAGGUAGUCAAGAUGAGAAUUCUAAGGUGAGCGAGCGAACUCUCGUUAAGGAACUCGGCAAAAUGACCCCGUAACUUCGGGAGAAGGGGUGCUCUUUAGGGUUAACGCCCAGAAGAGCCGCAGUGAAUAGGCCCAAGCGACUGUUUAUCAAAAACACAGGUCUCUGCUAAACCGUAAGGUGAUGUAUAGGGGCUGACGCCUGCCCGGUGCUGGAAGGUUAAGAGGAGUGGUUAGCUUCUGCGAAGCUACGAAUC
This 1682-nucleotide ribosomal RNA is filed under the name Staphylococcus aureus. RNAcentral's name for it is "partial 23S ribosomal RNA". It matches the Rfam family "Bacterial large subunit ribosomal RNA", at positions 231 to 1913 of the family's 2925-position model. Lineage: Bacteria; Bacillati; Bacillota; Bacilli; Caryophanales; Staphylococcaceae. The record is from RNAcentral.